This 266-nucleotide ribosomal RNA is filed under the name uncultured bacterium. RNAcentral's name for it is "partial 16S ribosomal RNA". It matches the Rfam family "Bacterial small subunit ribosomal RNA", at positions 28 to 290 of the family's 1533-position model. The record is from RNAcentral.
GAUGAACGCUAGCGGCAGGCCUAAUACAUGCAAGCCGAACGGCAAGUUGAGUAGCAAUACUUGACCUAGAGUGGCGUAAGGGUGCGUAACACGUAUGCAAUCUACCCGCAACAGGAGGAUAGCUCCCCGAAAGGGGAAUUAACCCUCCAUGGGAUCUUUAGGUGGCAUCACUGGAAGAUUAAACCGCAAGGGGGUUGUGGAUGAGCAUGCGCAUGAUUAGUUAGUGGCGGGGGUAACGGCCCACCAAGACGAUGAUCAUUAGGGGG